Canis lupus familiaris (dog) is the source of this 2167-nucleotide long non-coding RNA. RefSeq lists it as uncharacterized. The record is from RefSeq and is a predicted model, not a curated record. The transcript is spliced from 4 exons. NCBI's taxonomy places the organism in Eukaryota, Metazoa, Chordata, Mammalia, Carnivora, Canidae.
CUCUAAGAACCAUUUGCUUUGUUCAAAGCCAGUGGUUCUCAAACCUGUCUAAUCACAAUGGCCUAGAGAGUUUGUUUUCUUUCUUUCUUUUUAAUGCCAAUUCCUAGGACUUAGAGCUGCUGAGGCAAACCCUCUGUGAGUGGGGACAGGGGUAGUAGAGAUGCUCUUACAGCUUCCCAGGUAAUACUGGUGACCAGACAAGUUCCAGAACCAUGAUUCCAGACUCUGCUCCCUCUAGCUGCUCUGAUGAUCUUGCUGUUAAAUUGACUACCCUUCUCUGGAAAAGUAAUCCACUUAAAAAGAAAAAUAAAUAGCAAUAAAAUUCUUAUGGAACAGUUUUGAGAGAAGGCUGGAAAGAAUGAAGCCAGAGGAUUAGCUUUGCAUUUUAUCAUGUUCUUCCUCAUUUUCACAAAUAACCAACUGAAAUGCAGAUCAGCACUUCAUACACUUAAAGAAAAACUUCACACAAUCUAUAUUUCAUCUAGAAAGAUAUCCAUGACAAACCCACAUUUAGGUGACAAAAGCUAAUUACUUUAAAAUUGGACUGUUUUCAAUGUAUGUUGUAUAUAUGAAUUAAUGAAAUACACCAAAAAGUUACGUAUCUCUGGGCAGUGAUGACCUAUUUUUAUCUUUGUACUUUUUUUGGUAUUUUCUAAUGUUUGGCAAUGGAUAUUAAUAACUAGCAAGAUAAUAAAGCUAUUUAAAAGUUUAAACAUAACUAUGCUCAGCAAUGUUAAAUUAAGAAGUUCCAUGAAGUUUUUCCUGGCCUUUAGCCCUUCAUACGUAUUGCCUAGCUUAUGGAUUCUUUUUUCCCUGUCCUCUCCUUACAGAUAGGAGGUAUAUGUAUACUAUAAUGACAUUUCUCAAUCUGGCUUCAGUAAUUUUUCACAGCAGCUCUAAGCACAUAGGCAAAUGGUCAUUAACACAAAAUGGAUAAUGUAAGAACAUUCACAGAAUUUAUUAGUCCUGAGAUUUUUCUGGAAGGCCUACACACUUAGAACAAACAAAUGAAAGCUAAAGCUAUAUUUGUGAGCCUAAUAUUAGUUAACAGGCAGGAUUUUUAGAGAAGUGUUCUGCUAAGUAAGUUAUGUCUGGGUAAGCUAUUUAAAGUAGUUUUAUGGAGGAUUUUUAUUGUUUUGUGGCUUUGUUUUGCAUUUUUUACUUUUUGCUGUUAUAGAAAGACAGUUUUAGGAUUUGGUGAGUUCCUGGCCAAAAGUUAGAAAAUCAUCAUUUGCUCAAACUCCCCGGCUAAGUUUACUAUGGCAAACCGUGAUAAGAAGCGUGGAGGAGGGCGACAGAAUGCAGACACACUGCAGUUUCCCCCAGGCUAAACAACACAAUCCGUAACGUCAAGGUGCUGUUCCCACAAGCUGCCCCAGUCCUUGGGGCAUUUGUGCGGGAUGAAAAGAUCAAAAGAUAACGGAUACUAGAGCUAAAGCUGACUCACAGUUAAGAGUUUCUGGUUUGGGAUGCUAAUUACCAAAAUAAGCUUUGGCUGAGAAGCACUGAGCAAAUCUCCACCAGCCGAGGCUUCCCUGGGGCCAGAUUCAGCUCAGCAGUCAGCCAGCUAGCCCUCCUCUGGCGUCUCCAUUUUCAGCGAUGCCCGAAGGACCACGCAGCCCAACCGCCCUGCAGCUGUGCGCUCCCCUCCGCUCUGGUGCGGGGCGUCUGCGGCGAACCUACCUGGUGCAGCUCAUUGGGCCACCGGGCGGCGGCGGACCCGCGCAAGUUCGCGCCCAGCUCGCGGCCACCUCCGUUCGGCAGGAGCUCGGGCGGAUGGAGGGUGCGGCGGGGAGAGGCCGCUUAUCUGCCCCGGACCACGUGAGCCCGUCCUUCGCACCAAUCCCCGAGCGGCUGGCCCCGCGGCACGACCUAUCAGCGCCCGGCUAGGGCGCGAGCCCUCGCGCUGGGAACGUGAUCGCCGUGGUCCGCGGGGGAGCGCGGGGGACCCGGCCCGGCCCGCAGCUGCAGCGCGCUCGUGGUCAAUCCAAGUCUCUCAACUCCGUUCUGAUGUCCUUUGGCAGUGAGGUGGAAACCAAAAUGUCAAAAUAUCUCCCUAUGAUAAAUCUAAAACUCAGACUGAGCUGUUUACCAGGGACUGGUUAGGUCAGAGCCAAAAUUGGAACAGAAGAAUGUGGAGACUCCUGGGUGGCUCAGCAGUGGAGUG